CAGGCCUAACACAUGCAAGUCGGACGGUAGCACAGAGAGCUUGCUCUUGGGUGACGAGUGGCGGACGGGUGAGUAAUGUCUGGGGAUCUGCCCGAUAGAGGGGGAUAACCACUGGAAACGGUGGCUAAUACCGCAUAACGUCGCAAGACCAAAGAGGGGGACCUUCGGGCCUCUCACUAUCGGAUGAACCCAGAUGGGAUUAGCUAGUAGGCGGGGUAAUGGCCCACCUAGGCGACGAUCCCUAGCUGGUCUGAGAGGAUGACCAGCCACACUGGAACUGAGACACGGUCCAGACUCCUACGGGAGGCAGCAGUGGGGAAUAUUGCACAAUGGGCGCAAGCCUGAUGCACCCAUGCCGCGUGUAUGAAGAAGGCCUUCGGGUUGUAAAGUACUUUCAGCGGGGAGGAAGGCGGUGAGGUUAAUAACCUCGCCGAUUGACGUU
RNAcentral lists this ribosomal RNA (442 nucleotides) under Pantoea sp. RNAcentral's name for it is "bacterial SSU rRNA". It matches the Rfam family "Bacterial small subunit ribosomal RNA", at positions 43 to 476 of the family's 1533-position model. Lineage: Bacteria; Pseudomonadati; Pseudomonadota; Gammaproteobacteria; Enterobacterales; Erwiniaceae. The record is from RNAcentral.